UGCUGGGGGCCACAUGAGUGUG
This 22-nucleotide microRNA is filed under the name Homo sapiens (human). RNAcentral's name for it is "hsa-miR-4731-5p". Lineage: Eukaryota; Metazoa; Chordata; Mammalia; Primates; Hominidae. The record is from miRBase by way of RNAcentral.